AUUGAACGCUGGCGGCAUGCCUUACACAUGCAAGUCGAACGGUAACGGGCCUUCGGGUGCCGACGAGUGGCGAACGGGUGAGUAAUACAUCGGAACGUGCCCGAUCGUGGGGGAUAACGAGGCGAAAGCUUUGCUAAUACCGCAUACGAUCUACGGAUGAAAGCAGGGGACCGCAAGGCCUUGCGCGGACGGAGCGGCCGAUGGCAGAUUAGGUAGGUGGUGGGAUAAAAGCUUACCAAGCCGACGAUCUGUAGCUGGUCUGAGAGGAUGAUCAGCCACACUGGGACUGAGACACGGCCCAGACUCCUACGGGAGGCAGCAGUGGGGAAUUUUGGACAAUGGGCGCAAGCCUGAUCCAGCCAUGCCGCGUGCAGGAUGAAGGCCUUCGGGUUGUAAACUGCUUUUGUACGGAACGAAAAGCCUUCUUUUAAUACAGGAGGGUCAUGACGGUACCGUAAGAAUAAGCACCGGCUAACUACGU
RNAcentral lists this ribosomal RNA (481 nucleotides) under uncultured bacterium. RNAcentral describes it as "partial 16S ribosomal RNA". It matches the Rfam family "Bacterial small subunit ribosomal RNA", at positions 30 to 506 of the family's 1533-position model. The record is from RNAcentral.